AAGGAAGCAAGCGCCGAAGUUCUGUAGGUUUUUAAUCUGAUCAGUUCCUGUGGAUUGCAAGUUAACGAGCCUGGUCCUCUUUUUUUUGCUGGGGGGGGGGUGAGCUCCGGACUUGCAAAGCCAGCCCGCGAACUUCCGAAAAAGGGUGUUGAUACCGCUUUUUUUUUUUUUAAAGGAGGAGGUGAGAUAGGACGAGUAAGGAAUCUUUCCCCCCACCACCCUCCUUGAACAGGGAGAAGCGCGUGUGAGUGAGUGCGCGCGCGCGUAUUUCUCGCGGCGGGGAAAGUCUAGAGUUUUUCCACGCCGCUUUUGUUUUUUCAAAGUGACAUCAGCCUGAUGAGUAUUAAGCCCCCCUCCCCCUUCGACAAUUAAAAGGAACAAACCCAACUUUGCGCCCGAAACCUGGAUUGGCUACAGACUCCCCCUGGCAAUGGAACUCCUCAGGAUGAUUCUGAUGGGAGAUGCCAAUGGACCUUUCAUGCACUUUCUAGAAGCAGGAACAAAGCGGGGAAAUGUACAAGGAACUGUUUGCAAGCAUGACUCACCUCCACAUUUAUAAGUUCGUUCCCGGGCCUUCACAUCUGUGCACAAAAGUACGCCUGGCUUCUUCAGUAAAUGCUCACUGAGCACAGAGGGACUUAUUUCUAUCUAAAACAUCAGCAGAGCAUCAGGCUUCCUAGGACCACACGAAGAACUCCUUGGGGGCUAGUGGGACACUGCCUCGCCAACCUCAGUCUGCCAUCAGCCAGCCACCACCUGCCUGUCUUCUGACUUAUAACCAGUUCAGAGGUAUUCCAAUUGAACUCCAUUUAUCAAGCGAUUAUGGAUUAAACAGUAACUCAGGACUGACAAUGAAAAUGUUACCAAGAGGGCGGAGAAGAAUAGCUUGAAGAAAACCAUGCAAGUGACUUUGCCAUUGUGGGCAAGAACAAGCUUGUGCAAAUAUUAGCCAGGAAACACAGCUCUUUUAUUCUGCUGGAAGGACUGUUUUGUUUUUGCAGCCUGGAAAAGUUUGUUUGCCAGUCGAUGCAACUAUUCAUUAACACUAUGGAUUGUGUGACCAGGUUUUGUUUUUUAAAAAAAACCCGUCAAUCUUUCUAAUAUAGUGUUUUCUCAGCUAAAAUCCAUAGAACCUUCUGUGGAGUUCCUGAAUAGGAAGAUCACACAUGAUGGAAAAGCUUCCUUUAAAGUAGGGGUGGUUAUUAAGCUGUGGAUCUCAGAUUCUGAUGGACUGCCAUCUCCCAUUAGCUCCAGCCACCAAAGCCAACGGUCAGGGGUGAUGGGAGUUGGGUGCUGAUAACAUCUGGAGGGCACCAGGUUGGAGAAAGCUGUUUUAAGGUGGUCUGCUAUAUCCAAUCCUCUUGUGCAAGAUGCAGCUGCAGGAACAUCUACAUUGCAUCCUCAGUUCAAGUAGGUCAGCCAAGAACCUCAACAGGAAUGGCGAACUUUGCCCUAACAUAGAACAUGCCCCAGAAUCCUUGGCAACAUGCCCUCAGCAGACAAGCAGAUAUUUCUGCAGCACUUGCAGCAUCCCUGGCUGCCUGGUCUGAAAAAGCCCCGUGGGAGGAAUUACCUCGUGAUGCAUUUCCCUUGCACUUUAAUUGAAGCGUGGGCACCUGGGAAGGCUGCAGAGUGCAGCCCACCGGUGAGAUGAUUCAUAGAAUGAAAGAAAGGGUACUCACAAACAUCCCGCCACCUAGAAAUUAAGAGGAGCCCAGGUCAGCAAACAACAAACAAUACAUCUUAAAAACAAUUCCAAUACAGAUACAGACCGGGAAAGGUCUCUACUUCAAAGACUUGUUGAAAGAGGAAGGUCUUCAGUGGAUGUUCAAAAGAUAACAGAGAUGGUGCCUGUCUAAUAUUUAAGAGGAGGAAAUUCCAAAGGGAAGGUACCACCACACUAAAGGUCUGCUUCCUAUGUUGUGUGGAAUGGACCUCCUGAUAAGAUGGUAUCUACAGGAGGCAGAUCACCUGAAGAGCGCAGUAAUUGACUGGGUAUAUAAAAGUGAUGGUCCUGCCACCAGAAUAUUGGAUCAGAGGAUGCAGAGGAAGGCAUGGUAGGCUGAUCAAAUCUGUGAUCUGGCAGUUCCCUGGCCUUAGUCUACUACACUGACUGGCAGCAACCUCCUCUUUUAGACAGGGGCCUUCCCACCCCUACCUGGAGAUGUCAGCUUCUUCCACAGAGAACAGGUUCACAUUCUUCACUGACUUUCUGGCAAGGACAUUGGCCCUAGUUCACAUAAACAAAAGCAGAAGGACUGGCAAAACAAUCCUCUGACUUUUUACUAUGUGGGACUGCUAGUGGAGAAACCUAUCUCUGAGUGCCCCCUUGUAUUUUUUUUUAUCCUUCCAAAUAGUACAAUGACAUAUCAUAUGAUGACUUCUGUCACCCUUCUCAGGGUGGGGUUGGGGAGCAACAACCCUGACUGUCAGUAUCCCCAGACCUGGAUAUUUUGUCUGGCAAGGUUCAUAAGAGGAAGGGGAAAAAAUCCUAAGCCAUAAGGAAGUUCAGUGGCUACAAACUUCAGACAUGCAUGUUGAGGAACAUCAGAGGCAGAAUUCAUACCUCGGAGCUCUUUUCCAUUAUCAAAUGGGAUCCCCAGUCUCGCAACUUGAAAACAUGCGUCUCUUUGGAGAAUUGCUCAAACAUACAGCGUGCACGGCAUGAAGCACUCAUAUUUCUAAUCCUCUUCAGAAUGGUUUUAUUUUCGGUGGUGGGGGAAAAUGAAAAACAGCAGCUCGUACUAGAAAGGAGAUGGAGAGGAAGUCAAAGAAUCCUUGGCUGGAGAGCUGAGAAAGUGUGGCAGAAAUCAAAUAAUCUUGUACAAGAUGAAAGCUGUUACAGACAGCAGAAAUGCUGUUUCCUUGUGGAGGAAGCUACACUACAAAUUCAGCGUUCAAAGUUCUCAUGUUUCAUCCUAACAAAUUCCAUUACAUUAGGAAGAUUAGAAAAAUUGCAUUCUCUUUCCUUGGGCUGUGAAACUGUAAGCAAAGUAAACUCAUGCAGGGGGGAGGCGGAGGGGGGAUAUGAUAUUUUCCUUCCCAAGAUCAGAAGGCUCCAGAUAUUUGCACCUAGCACAAUGAAGAAAUGGGGGGCAUGGGUUGUAUCCAGUGAUAGUCUUACUCAGAGUAGACCCAUUGAAGUUAAUAGGAAUGCCUAACUUAUAUUCAUUCAUUUCAGUGGGUCUACUCUGAGUAGGACUUAGCUGAGUACAACCACAUGGGAUUGCAUAAAGAAGCCAACUUGAGGUCCUCAUUCUCUUUAGACCAUCUUUUACCAUAACAAGUGUGAAAUGGAAGGGCAUGAGCAGGAUUAUUAGCAACCGUUGAGAGAUUAUUUUUCUGAACAAUUGGUCUUGUUUGUGGAAAAGUUUUCAGGCAAAAAUGAAAAGGGGGAAGGAGAGAAGGAAAAUCCUGCCCCCCAAUGAUUUAUUAAUGGUUGAUUAUGCCAUUGAAAUGUCAUUAGUCAAAAAGAAAAUAAAACAGCUGAUUAUAACAAUGGUGCCACUAACCAUUUUUGGAGAACAUUUUUAAGAAUGUUGUACUUUUUCUUUGCUUGCUUGCAAGAAUGUUUACCUGUUCAUUUAAAUUUCCCACAAUUGCUUCUGCUACAAAUUGACUUCAUUUGCCCUUAGAGAAACCACAUAGCUAAAUCUGAUUGGCUUUGUAGACCGGCCUGCAGCCAGGGGGAUGGUGAAAUGGAGCAUCCCCCCAGAACUGUGCUUGGUCUUCCCCUAGGAUUUUUUUGAGAAAUUGUCUUCUUUUUAAUUUGUGACGUGACAGCCAAUGACAAUCCCACUUUCAAGAAUGACAGCUUGUUUUAAGGACAGGAGCAAUUUAAGAAUAUGACCCUCUGAAAAAUUCAGUGAAUAAGGCAGGUGCACAACAAAAGGCUCAUCUGGAAGAGCCACCAAAAGUCUGCUCACUCAAGACUUUUCCUGACUGUUUUCCUGAUCACAGUCACCUUAUAAUUACUUAAGUGAGCCCGAGAAAAUCAGCCUGUAUAGGAACAUGACCCUUAAAGAGUUAAAUAUCAGAACUUUGUAUUAUGGGUUAGAGUUAGACUCCACCCCAUGGACUUUCCUUUGCUCUGCUUUUCAGUUUCAGUUGUGCUGUUCACCCAGGUAGCAAUAAAGAAGCAUGUUUGUUUGCCUGUAGUAAGAAGUAAGAGUUUGUUCAUUCUGCAGUUAUUAUAGUGAGUAGCGCAGAAUUUGGUUCUUAUUGCUAAAGGGUGAAAUAAAGAGGAAAGUUAGUGAUAGGAAAAAAUGGCUACCAUUUACUCUUUUAAAGCAUUCACUAAACUCACAGUCGUACUGGCUAUUUUUUUCUUAUUGAUUACUUGAUGACAAAGUUUGGAAACAGCCCUAGAGGAAUCGAAAUAUUGGUGUGUACACUACAGUUGGCUAACUGGCUGGCUGGCUGGACACCUAGGCUGUAACUCAAGCCUAAUUUCUGAUAUUCCCAAUAUGAUCAGGUGAUCAUGAAGCCUUUUCAGGGUUUCUAGACAGAAAAAUCAACCUAGUAUCCAGUAAAAAACACACAACCCAAUUGCUUUCUACAAUUAGCAUCCAGCUGCUUAGUUCGUCCUUUAUAGAGCAGCCUGUUAAAACGUUUUCCCUUUAUUGUACAAAAGGAAAGAAAAUCUAAAGGUCAGGAGCAAGACUAGAAGGAGGGAAGAAGGCUCUCAAGGAGAAGUUAACAAACACACCCUACUAUAUUUAUUUUCUCUCUGCCCUUCUCUAAACUUGUAGUAUGGACAAGUUUGUUUUUCAGGUGGAAUCUAAAAUGGAGAUACCUAAUGCAGCAUCAAAACCACGCUCAGGAGUUCACUGUCUUUACCAAAAUAGCUCAUUUCAUGACGUAUCAGAACACAGGGACAGAACACAGGUGAAAGGGGAAUGUAGUUAUUGGCAAAGUCAAGCUUUUGAGUCUGGUAUUCCUGGGGGAUCUCUUAAAAAAGGGGUGAGACAAAUCAACAGAUUAAAGUUCAUUCACGUAAGUUAACCCACUCUCUGGAUGGAGAUCACUGUCUUUCUCUUCCCCUGGCCUGGCCCUCACAUCUUCUCCACCAGUGAGGGAAGAGGAUUGGCUGACACUAUGCACCUCUCCCCCCCCCAGAUGUCCCACUUAGAAAUGUGACUGCCUCACCUAACAAGGAUUGCUGGCUUCAGGGCUGUUUGUAGUAUAGUGACAUUAUUUAUUUUACUCUGUGUUCCCUGAUUGGUUGGGACCAAUUGGAUUUCAGCCUAAUUCAGGAAGGUGAAAGAUGCAGCAAUGAGAAGGAAAAUGGCAGCAUAGCAACAGCAGACAAGGGAAAUAAUGUGAUCCAAACAGGAUCAGAAGAUGUGGCCUAUGUUUUUGUGGGGAGGGAUCAUUGUACCCCUCCAGAUAUAUUUUUUUCUGGCUGAAAUAUGGAAAUCAGUGAAUAUUCAGCACACUCUAGUAAUUUGUACACAAUUUGUUUGGAUUCUAAGUGAUCAAAUAUUACAAUGAAUCAGUAUGGAUGAUAUAAAUGAGUGAUUUUGCGGGUAUUAGCUGGCAGUUAAAUUGGAGCUUAAUACCAAGCUCUGAAACUGGGCUUAGUAGUGCUAUUGAGAAGUCAGAGAGAGAUGGGAUCACUUGAAGGAUGGGCCAUUAUUAAUCUUACUUGGAAUCUGAUCCAUUGGCUCUAGGCAAGGCAAGGGCCUAAAUCUUAGUGGCAGAUCACAUGGAAAGUCCCAUGACUAGAUCUCUGGCAUUUCCCACUUAAAAAGAAGCUCAAAUAGUAGGGUUAAGGAAGACUCUCUCUACUUGAGAUCUUGGAGAGAUGUAGCCCCAUGUAAAAUAUCAUUUCUGAUCUUAAGAACAUUCCUACAUGAGUUGGAAAGCACUCUCUUUAAGGAGCUCAUACAGCCAAGAAAAUGCAAGACUGCCCAGGUUUAGAUUUCUAUCCCAGAUUCUUGAAGCCAACACACAACGACCGUAGCUGCAAUAUCUCUCUCCCCAACUCAGCUGUCCACAGCACACUCAGCAUCGUAAUCAUGCAAAUUAAAUACAAAUUUUUAAAAUUGCCCACAUUAAAAUGAUCCAUUAAUUUAAUAAGGCUCCAACACUUGUAGGGAACUAUUCUAAUUGCAUGAUCUUGCCAUUGGCACAUCUUAAAAGACCUGGCAGAUCUUGAAGAUAUUUACACCUCUGGGAUUAAUUUUAUUGUAAGGAAUUAACUUUUGGCAAAGCUCUGUUGCUGCUACUAGGAAAAAAAAGGUUGCUAACCUACUUUUUAAAAUUAUUAUAUUGCUGGAGAAAAAAAAAUGGAGUUGAAUAAAUUGCCUGACUAAAAUAUUAAGAACAUCUCCCUUUCCCCUGUCACAAAAAUGUUGUGUUUUUUUUAAAAAAGUGAACUGGUUAGACCAAACCACCCUGUAAAAUUCAUCCCCUCCUCCUCUCCCACUGCAAAUGUUCUGAUGGCUUCCGUGAUAUCACCUCUGCUCAACCAAUCACUGUGCAAUAACUAAAUCCUGAGGCAUAGAUUAUCAAUUUUUUCUCCUAGAUUAAGCAAUGGGGCUGAAAAUGAAGUCCUGCUUCACAUUUUAUUGCCAAACCACAGUUUGGCCACCAGGUCCAUAUUUCAGGCUCACACAUUCCCUCCUCCUCUCACAUACUUCAGUCCCCUUCUGGUUCACGCUAAUCAGAGCUUUCAGUUACAUCCAAAUUGAACAAACAUGUGAGGGCCACAAACCAUAGAGUACCUCCAAAUCAUAAACCAUAGGUUGCAGUAGGCUUCCAGUUCUGGCCUGAAGGUAAACAAUAGUUUUCCCAGUUCAAACAGCAAAGCAAGGGCGACCAAAAGACAGAGAAAGAACCAGAGUGCUAUGCAAAUGCUCAAGAUUAUUAUUAUCAAGCUAGAUCAGGGGUGGGGACAAUAUUUUCAGCCUGAGGGCCGCAUUCACUUGUAAGCAACCUUCUAGGGGCCACAAGCCAGUGGUGAGCGAGCCCAGAAGCAAAAACUCAGGGAGUACAAGAUGCUAAUGCUACCUCCGUACAGCAAGCUUGUUUCUGCACACACUCACGUCUCUGUCCUCCAUCAAGGCAUGCAAGAGUUAUUAUUAAAGCACCUUGGACAGCUCCUCAAAAGUUCAGUCUAAAACCUGGAAUGGAUUCACUGACCUGCUGACAUUGGAGCUACUAGUCUCCACUAUUAAAGAAUUCAAGGGCACAUUCUAGGCAGGUGAAAAAUACUUAAGGAGAGUGCACAGAAGGCUUCAGGAGAAAAGGGUGCGGCUAGGGAGGGGUAUAGUCUGGUGAGAUUCCCAAGGACCAGACAGAGAGCUAGAAGGCCACAUUCAGCCACUGGGUUAGAUGGUCCAAUGGACUGGGUCAGCAGAAAGGUCCUUCCUAAGAUCAUUUGUCCCACAAAAGGGCUUUAUUUAUUUAUUUAUUUGGUGCGGACCGUCAAGAAAAUUCCAUCACAAACACUGCUGCUCUCCUCCUCUUCCUCCUCCAUCCUCACAUGACCUGCCAGUCCUGAUUUGCAGCUUAGUUUGCUGCUCCUAGCAGAAUUUCCACCCCCCCCACUCCUGAACAGAAACUGGAGCAAAGUUUAGCAGAAAUGCAUGUUUGUCAUUGAACGGGGCUGAGAAGAAGGAAGAGGCGAAUGAUAAGAUCACAGCCUGCAGCGCUUUGUUUAUGAGAACAUCUUCCGUGUGAUAUAUGUCUGCACUAGGUGAAAGGAUGGUGUCACCCCCAACAUAUUUUAAAUGCUGUGACUGUCAGGCAAAAAGACAAUGAUGAACAAGUUUAUACAAAAAAUGCAGCACCCAGCAAGGAGCGUUUUCAUGUGAGGCGCCUGCUUCAAUUGAGUUUGCAAUGCAAAUUGUUUUCUUUUUUUAAAUAAAAAAGAAGGCAU
Molecule: long non-coding RNA, 7885 nt
Organism: Rhineura floridana
Lineage: Eukaryota; Metazoa; Chordata; Lepidosauria; Squamata; Rhineuridae
Exons: 8
Source: RefSeq, a predicted model, not a curated record